RNAcentral lists this non-coding RNA (22 nucleotides) under Arabidopsis thaliana (thale cress). The record is from RNAcentral. Lineage: Eukaryota; Viridiplantae; Streptophyta; Magnoliopsida; Brassicales; Brassicaceae.
UACGAAAUUCAGUUUGGGUCAA